GACGUAGGGCGCGAGCGUUGUCCGGAUUUAUUGGGCGUAAAGAGCUCGUAGGCGGCUCGUUGCGUCGGCUGUGAAAACCCGCAGCUCAACUGUGGGCUUGCAGCCGAUACGGGCGGGCUUGAGUUCGGUAGGGGAGACUGGAAUUCCUGGUGUAGCGGUGAAAUGCGCAGAUAUCAGGAGGAACACCGGUGGCGAAGGCGGGUCUCUGGGCCGAUACUGACGCUGAGGAGCGAAAGCGUGGGGAGCGAACAGG
Molecule: ribosomal RNA, 253 nt
Filed under: uncultured bacterium
Lineage: Bacteria
Description: partial 16S ribosomal RNA
Rfam family: Bacterial small subunit ribosomal RNA
Source: RNAcentral